This 508-nucleotide ribosomal RNA is filed under the name uncultured bacterium. RNAcentral's name for it is "partial 16S ribosomal RNA". It matches the Rfam family "Bacterial small subunit ribosomal RNA", at positions 28 to 507 of the family's 1533-position model. The record is from RNAcentral.
GACGAACGCUGGCGGCGUGCUUAACACAUGCAAGUCGAACGGGAUAAUUUGAGAGCUUGCUCUUAGAGAAUCUAGUGGCAAACGGGUGAGUAACACGUAGACAACCUGCCGACAGGAUGGGGACAACAUUCCGAAAGGAAUGCUAAUACCGAAUGAAGCGGAGGAGAGGCAUCUCUCCUCCGUGAAAGAUGGCCUCUGAAUAUGCUAUCACCUGUCGAUGGGUCUGCGUCUGAUUAGCUAGUUGGUGAGGUAACGGCUCACCAAGGCGACGAUCAGUAGCCGGUCUGAGAGGAUGAACGGCCACAUUGGGACUGAGACACGGCCCAGACUCCUACGGGAGGAAGCAGUGGGGAAUCUUCCGCAAUGGGCGCAAGCCUGACGGAGCAACGCCGCGUGAGUGAAGAAGGUCUUCGGAUCGUAAAGCUCUGUUGACGGGGACGAACGUGCGAAGGGUGAAUAAUCCUUUGUAAUGACGGUACCUGUCGAGGAAGCCACGGCUAACUACGUG